Molecule: small nuclear RNA, 136 nt
Organism: Octopus sinensis (East Asian common octopus)
Lineage: Eukaryota; Metazoa; Mollusca; Cephalopoda; Octopoda; Octopodidae
Product: U11 spliceosomal RNA
Exons: 1
Source: RefSeq, a predicted model, not a curated record
AUAGAGGGUCUUUGUCAUCAGUGACACCCAGUGGCUGAUAUAUGAGCGUCUGGGCAGAAUCACAGUCAAGAGAUUUCAGAGAUGUAAUUUUUAACAACUUGUAGCAGCUAUCGCUCUUUUGAUGAUGAUGUGCCUG